AAUAUUGGACAAUGGGCGAAAGCCUGAUCCAGCAAUGCCGCGUGCGUGAUGAAGGCCUUCGGGUUGUAAAGCGCUUUCACCCACGACGAUGAUGACGGUAGUGGGAGAAGAAGCCCCGGCUAACUCCGUGCCAGCAGCCGCGGUAAUACAGAGGGGGCUAGCGUUGUUCGGAAUUACUGGGCGUAAAGGGUGCGUAGGCGGCCUAUCAAGUCGGGCGUGAAAGCCCCGGGCUCAACCCGGGAUGUGCGUCCGAGACUGGUAGGCUUGAGUUCGGGAGAGGUGAGUGGAAUUCCCAGUGUAGAGGUGAAAUUCGUAGAUAUUGGGAAGAACACCGGUGGCGAAGGCGGCUCACUGGACCGACACUGACGCUGAGGCACGAAAGCGUGGGGAGCAAAC
This 396-nucleotide ribosomal RNA is filed under the name uncultured bacterium. RNAcentral's name for it is "partial 16S ribosomal RNA". It matches the Rfam family "Bacterial small subunit ribosomal RNA", at positions 360 to 773 of the family's 1533-position model. The record is from RNAcentral.